AAAAGACUUAGUCCUAACCUUACCGUUAAUUUUUGCUAAAUAUAUACAUGCAAGUAUCUGCGCCCCAGUGUAAAUGCCCUUGAUCUCUUACUAAGAAGAAAGGAGCGGGUAUCAGGCACACCUAAACUGUAGCCCAAGACGCCUUGCUCAGCCACACCCUCACGGGUAUUCAGCAGUAAUUAACAUUAAGCAAUAAGUGAAAACUUGACUUAGUUAUAGCAACACCAGGGUUGGUAAAUCUUGUGCCAGCCACCGCGGUCACACAAGAGACCCAAAUUAACUGUAUACGGCGUAAAGAGUGGUAUCAUGUUAUCUCAACAACUAAGACCAAAGUGCAACUAAGCUGUCAUAAGCUCAAGAUGUACCUAAGACCUCCCUUAAAACGAUCUUAGCGCUUUUGAUCAAUUUAAUUCCACGAAAGCUAAGACACAAACUGGGAUUAGAUACCCCACUAUGCUUAGCCCUAAAUCUUGAUGCUCUUUUCCCCAUACCUAGAGCAUCCGCCUGAGAACUACGAGCACAAACGCUUAAAACUCUAAGGACUUGGCGGUGCCCUAAACCCACCUAGAGGAGCCUGUUCUGUAAUCGAUAACCCACGUUACACCCGACCGCCUCUUGCCAAAACAGCCUACAUACCGCCGUCGCCAGCUCACCUCCCCUGAGAGCCCAACAGUGAGCACAACAGCCUAAACCCGCUAAUAAGACAGGUCGAGGUAUAGCCUACGAGGCGGAAGAAAUGGGCUACAUUUUCUAAAAUAGAAAACUUACGGAAGGGGGUAUGAAAUUGGCCCCCCGAAGGCGGAUUUAGUAGUAAAGUGGGACAAUAUAAGCCUUCUUUAAAUCGGCCCUGGGGCACGUACAUACCGCCCGUCACCCUCCUCAUAAGCUACCCACCCUACAAUACCUAAUACAACUCCAAGCUGAAGAUGAGGUAAGUCGUAACAAGGUAAGUGUACCGGAAGGUGCACUUAGCAUACC
This 978-nucleotide ribosomal RNA is filed under the name Calidris pugnax (ruff). RNAcentral describes it as "12S ribosomal RNA". It matches the Rfam family "Bacterial small subunit ribosomal RNA". RNAcentral also lists the same sequence under 2 other names. Lineage: Eukaryota; Metazoa; Chordata; Aves; Charadriiformes; Scolopacidae. The record is from RNAcentral.